UACGUAGGGGGCUAGCGUUGUCCGGAAUCAUUGGGCGUAAAGAGCGUGUAGGCGGCCAAACAGGUCAGCUGUGAAAACUCGAGGCUCAACCUCGAGACGUCGGUUGAAACCGUUUGGCUAGAGUCCGGAAGAGGAGAGUGGAAUUCCCGGUGUAGAGGUGAAAUUCGUAGAUAUUGGGAAGAACACCGGUGGCGAAGGCGGCGAGCUGGUCCAUUACUGACGCUGAGGCGCGACAGCGUGGGGAGCAAACAGG
Molecule: ribosomal RNA, 253 nt
Filed under: uncultured bacterium
Lineage: Bacteria
Description: partial 16S ribosomal RNA
Rfam family: Bacterial small subunit ribosomal RNA
Source: RNAcentral